RNAcentral lists this ribosomal RNA (506 nucleotides) under uncultured bacterium. RNAcentral's name for it is "bacterial SSU rRNA". It matches the Rfam family "Bacterial small subunit ribosomal RNA", at positions 18 to 518 of the family's 1533-position model. The record is from RNAcentral.
CUUGGCUCAGGAUGAACGCUAGCGACAGGCCUAACACAUGCAAGUCGAGGGCAGCACAAGGAGCAAUCUGAGGUGGCGACCGGCGCACGGGUGAGUAACACGUAUGCAACCUGCCUGUAAGCGGGGAAUAACCCGUUGAAAGACGGACUAAUACCGCAUAAUACUAAAUUACUGCAUGGUAAUUUAUUUAAACAUUUAUGGCUUACAGAUGGGCAUGCGCAUGAUUAGCUAGUUGGAGAGGUAACGGCUCCCCAAGGCAACGAUCAUUAGGGGUUCUGAGAGGAAGGUCCCCCCACACUGGUACUGAGACACGGACCAGACUCCUACGGGAGGCAGCAGUGAGGAAUAUUGGUCAAUGGACGAGAGUCUGAACCAGCCAAGUCGCGUGCAGGAAGAAUUGUCCUAUGGAUUGUAAACUGCUUUUGCAGGGGAAUAAAGUGCAUCACGUGUGAUGUUUUGUAUGUACUCUGCGAAUAAGGAUCGGCUAACUCCGUGCCAGCCGCCGC